AACACGUGGGGAACCUGCUCCAUAGUCUGGGAUACCACUUGGAAACAGGUGCUAAUACCGGAUAAGAAAGCGGAUCGUAUGAUCAGCUUUUAAAAGGCGGCGUAAGCUGUCGCUAUGGGAUGGCCCCGCGGUGCAUUAGCUAGUUGGUAAGGUAAAGGCUUACCAAGGCGAUGAUGCAUAGCCGAGUUGAGAGACUGAUCGGCCACAUUGGGACUGAGACACGGCCCAAACUCCUACGGGAGGCAGCAGCC
This 251-nucleotide ribosomal RNA is filed under the name uncultured Lactobacillus sp. RNAcentral's name for it is "partial 16S ribosomal RNA". It matches the Rfam family "Bacterial small subunit ribosomal RNA", at positions 112 to 355 of the family's 1533-position model. The record is from RNAcentral. Lineage: Bacteria; Bacillati; Bacillota; Bacilli; Lactobacillales; Lactobacillaceae.